This 454-nucleotide ribosomal RNA is filed under the name Phyllobates aurotaenia. RNAcentral describes it as "partial large subunit ribosomal RNA". It matches the Rfam family "Bacterial large subunit ribosomal RNA", at positions 1950 to 2558 of the family's 2925-position model. Lineage: Eukaryota; Metazoa; Chordata; Amphibia; Anura; Dendrobatidae. The record is from RNAcentral.
GCGAAGGUAGCGUAAUCACUUGUUCUUUAAUUGUGGACUAGUAUGAAUGGCCCCACGAAGACUAUACUGUCUCCUUUUUCUAAUCAAUGAAACUAAUCUCCCCGUGAAGAAGCGGGGAUAGUUCUAUAAGACGAGAAGACCCUAUGGAGCUUUAAACAACUGAAGUAUUUGCUUUCACUUAAUAGCUUCAGAAAACUAAACAUAUUUAAGCAUUUUUAACUUCUAGUUUUAGGUUGGGGUGACCACGGAGUAAAACUUAACCUCCACGCUGAAAGAUAAAACUUCUUAGCAAAAAGCCACAUCUUUAUGCAUCAUCAAACUGACUUACAUUGACCCAAUUAUUUGAUCAACGAACCAAGUUACCCUAGGGAUAACAGCGCAAUCUACUUCAAGAGCCCGUACGACAAGUAGGUUUACGACCUCGAUGUUGGAUCAGGGUAUCCUAGUGGUGCAG